GAUGAAGAACGCAGCGAAAUGCGAUAAGUAAUGUGAAUUGCAGAAUUCAGUGAAUCAUCGAAUCUUUGAACGCACCUUGCGCUCCUUGGCAUUCCGAGGAGCAUGCCUGUUUGAGUGUCAUUAAAUUCUCAAGACCUGUCUGCUUUUUUGAUAGGUAUUGGAUUUUGGGGGUUGCAGGCUGUUUCAAAUAAAUAGCCUUGCUCUCCUUGAAUGUAUUAGUGGAGAAAAGCCAUUGAACUCUAUUGGUGUGAUAAAUCCUAUCAAUGCCAGGAGCAAUAUCACUACUUCUCUCUGCUGUCUAACUGUGACUGUCUGUAUUAAUUAGUAUGGAUGGGGACAACUUGACCAACUUGACCUCAAAUCAGGUAGGACUACCCGCUGAACUUAAGCAUAUCAUAAGCGGAGGA
RNAcentral lists this unclassified non-coding RNA (407 nucleotides) under soil metagenome. RNAcentral's name for it is "partial contains 5.8S ribosomal RNA, internal transcribed spacer 2, and large subunit ribosomal RNA". The stretch from base 1 to 120 matches the Rfam family "5.8S ribosomal RNA", at positions 35 to 154 of the family's 154-position model. The record is from RNAcentral.